RNAcentral lists this ribosomal RNA (253 nucleotides) under uncultured bacterium. RNAcentral's name for it is "partial 16S ribosomal RNA". It matches the Rfam family "Bacterial small subunit ribosomal RNA", at positions 524 to 776 of the family's 1533-position model. The record is from RNAcentral.
UACGGAGGAUCCAAGCGUUAUCCGGAUUUAUUGGGUUUAAAGGGUGCGUAGGCGGAAUUGUAAGUCAGUGGUGAAAGCCCUUCGCUUAACGAAGGAACUGCCAUUGAUACUGCAAAUCUUGAGUACAUUUGAUGAGGGCGGAAUGUGUCAUGUAGCGGUGAAAUGCUUAGAUAUGACACAGAACACCGAUUGCGAAGGCAGCUCUCAAAACUGUAACUGACGCUGAGACACGAAAGCGUGGGGAGCAAACAGG